CCUACGGGAGGCAGCAGUGAGGAAUAUUGGUCAAUGGACGAGAGUCUGAACCAGCCAAGUAGCGUGAAGGAUGACUGCCCUAUGGGUUGUAAACUUCUUUUAUAAAGGAAUAAAACGAGGCACGUGUGCCUUUUUGCAUGUACUUUAUGAAUAAGGAUCGGCUAACUCCGUGCCAGCAGCCGCGGUAAUACGGAGGAUCCGAGCGUUAUCCGGAUUUAUUGGGUUUAAAGGGAGCGUAGAUGGGUUGUUAAGUCAGUUGUGAAAGUUUGCGGCUCAACCGUAAAAUUGCAGUUGAAACUGGCAGUCUUGAGUACAGUAGAGGUGGGCGGAAUUCGUGGUGUAGCGGUGAAAUGCUUAGAUAUCACGAAGAACUCCGAUUGCGAAGGCAGCUAACUGGACUGCAACUGACACUGAGGCUCGAAAGUGUGGGUAUCAAACAGGAUUAGAUACCCGAGUAGUC
RNAcentral lists this ribosomal RNA (460 nucleotides) under uncultured bacterium. Its description in RNAcentral is "partial 16S ribosomal RNA". It matches the Rfam family "Bacterial small subunit ribosomal RNA", at positions 338 to 795 of the family's 1533-position model. The record is from RNAcentral.